GUUGGGUACAUUAGGAGGACUGCCAGUGCCAAACUGGAGGAAGGAACGGGCAACGGUAGGUCAGUAUGCCCCGAAUGUGCUGGGCGACACGCGGGCUACAAUGGCCGAGACAGUGGGAUGCAACGCCGAGAGGCGACGCUAAUCUCCGAAACUCGGUCGUAGUUCGGAUUGCGGACUGAAACUCGUCCGCAUGAAGCUGGAUUCGGUAGUAAUCGCCGUUCAGAAGACGGCGGUGAAUACGUCCCUGCUCCUUGCACACACCGCCCGUCAAAGCACCCGAGUGGGGUCCGGAUGAGGCCCGGUUACCGGGUCGAAUCUGGGCUCCGCAAGGGGGCUUAAGUCGUAACAAGGUAGCCGUAGGGGAAUCUGCGGCUGGAUCACCUCCA
Molecule: non-coding RNA, 386 nt
Filed under: Natronobacterium lacisalsi AJ5
Lineage: Archaea; Methanobacteriati; Methanobacteriota; Halobacteria; Halobacteriales; Natrialbaceae
Description: Halobiforma lacisalsi AJ5 Archaeal small subunit ribosomal RNA
Rfam family: Archaeal small subunit ribosomal RNA
Source: Rfam by way of RNAcentral